Molecule: ribosomal RNA, 497 nt
Filed under: uncultured bacterium
Lineage: Bacteria
Description: partial 16S ribosomal RNA
Rfam family: Bacterial small subunit ribosomal RNA
Source: RNAcentral
GAUGAACGCUGGCGGCGUGCCUAAUACAUGCAAGUCGAGCGAACAGAUGAGGAGCUUGCUCCUCUGACGUUAGCGGCGGACGGGUGAGUAACACGUGGAUCACCUACCUAUAAGACUGGGAUAACUUCGGGAAACCGGAGCUAAUACCGGAUAAUAUCUUGAACCGCAUGGUUCAAUAGUGAAAGACGGUUUUGCUGUCACUUAUAGAUGGAUCCGCGCUGCAUUAGCUAGUUGGUAAGGUAACGGCUUACCAAGGCAACGAUGCGUAGCCGACCUGAGAGGGGGAUCGGCCACACUGGAACUGAGACACGGUCCAGACUCCUACGGGAGGCAGCAGUAGGGAAUCUUCCGCAAUGGGCGAAAGCCUGACGGAGCAACGCCGCGUGAGUGAUGAAGGUCUUCGGAUCGUAAAACUCUGUUAUUAGGGAAGAACAAAUGUGUAAGUAACUAUGCACGUCUUGACGGUACCUAAUCAGAAAGCCACGGCUAACUACGUG